Pyrus x bretschneideri (Chinese white pear) is the source of this 1635-nucleotide long non-coding RNA. RefSeq lists it as uncharacterized. Lineage: Eukaryota; Viridiplantae; Streptophyta; Magnoliopsida; Rosales; Rosaceae. The record is from RefSeq and is a predicted model, not a curated record. The transcript has 5 exons.
CCGAAGCUAUCUCUCCUCUCCCUUGAGCACACCCAUGGACCACCCAUGUCACCAACCUGCCACUCAUACGAGCUCUGCCACCAUUACUCACCUUGUCCCAUCUUCCCUCCCGAGCCUAAAUCUAUAGAACCAUUCAUGGACCUGCACUCCAAUCGGAGAGAAGUUGGAAAUAGAGAGCUUCAGCGAGAUUCCUCGUCCCUUUGAUUUGGCACAAAGAUACCUUGGGGGUGCUAAACCCAGUUUUUUCGAGGAGUGAACUUACCUUUGCAGGCAUAUUCCUAUGAGAUACAACCACGGCUGGCCACGAGAAAGGUGUAAUUGUGUAUGACGUUUUCGUCCACCCUUGUUUGCACGACUCUUCACCAACAGUGUAAGGAGCCUACAGGCGAUUGAUAUUUAUAUUGGCUACGGCCGAGGCAUUUGGUUGGUACCUACGGGAGGGAGAUAUAUGAUUGGCUUCGGCCGGGCGUUUGUAGAUGGCUUCGGCCAUAAGAUAUUUAUAUUGACUUUGGCCAGGCGUUUGUAGAUGGCUUCGACCGGAAGAUACUUAUAUUGGCUUCGGUCGGGUGAUGUAGGGGCCUAUGGGUCGAAAGAUACUUAUAUUGGCUUCAACCGAGAGAUGUAGUGUCUACGGGGGAAUGAUCUGCCUACGCAUGCAGUGAUGUAGAACCUUCUGAUGAAUGAAUAAGUGUUCUACAUGCCUUUGGGCAAAUGAAAUAUAAUAUCUAUGUAUAUGCUUUAUAUAUAUACCACUCAUAAGCACACACCAUAUAUAAUAUAUGUCUUUCAAAGUUUUAUAGCAUGUUAGGGCUUUCGGAAAACGUAUUACUUAUUAUGCUAUUAAAUCUUCAUAAACAUUUGGGGGUUAGUACGUUAUUGAAUAACUGUUUUUGUACUACUUAUAUAUAUUAACUUGGUCCACUCAUGUUUUGUUUUGCGCCCCCUCAGGACUUAGAAUCGAGGCGUACAAUCUCGACGUUAAGGCAUUCCUGCAUCGGCAUCUUUAAGUCUUCUCAGUAGAUGGCACCAAUGGCUGUUGAGGGUAAGAAGCAAGAACGUGAUAGUCCUCAGGCAGAGAAGAAGCUUCAUCAGAUGAAGCAGAGUGAGACCGCUAAGAAUCAUUAGGCAAAGCACAAGAAUAAGACUAACAAGAAUAACCGUGACGAGCAUGUUCAGAGUCACAUCCAGAGCCAUUGGAUUCCCGAUACUAAUAGCGUCGGCGAUUGUCGUUCAUCAUGCGUAGCCACCGGCUUCUACAGUGUUGAUUGUGUUGAUGAUAAAUGCAUGUGCAUUAAGAAAAUUUGGUAGUGCUUAUCAUUGAGAUCUCUACGUGCAUGCAUGGUAUCUCAUCUGCAACCUAGCUUGUAGCUACAAGUGUGGGAGUUUUUAACACUAGUCAAAUUACCGAUUUGGGGGGCCAGUACUUCUGUAUAAUAACUAGGUUUGUGCCCUAAUUUUUUGCUUUUUCUUUCCUCCUCUUGUGUAUGAAUCGAGAGAGUAUUUAUUUUGUGAUGUCAUGUAUACAAGUGUAUAGUAACUGGGUUUGUCGCCUAAUUUUUUGUUCUUUCUAUAUUUUUCAAUAAAAUCCUCAUUUGUGAAUUAUUAGUAUUCUAUUUUUUCAACUAAUGUUCUUAA